Molecule: transfer RNA, 66 nt
Filed under: Longitarsus tabidus
Lineage: Eukaryota; Metazoa; Arthropoda; Insecta; Coleoptera; Chrysomelidae
Description: tRNA-Gly
Source: RNAcentral
AUUUAUGUAGUAUAGAAAUUAUUUUUGAUUUCCAAUCAAAAGACCUAAUAUUAAUUAGUAUAAAUA